This 77-nucleotide transfer RNA is filed under the name Gordonia sp. (in: high G+C Gram-positive bacteria). Its description in RNAcentral is "Gordonia sp. tRNA-Pro". It matches the Rfam family "tRNA". From Rfam's summary of the family: Transfer RNA (tRNA) molecules are approximately 80 nucleotides in length. Their secondary structure includes four short double-helical elements and three loops (D, anti-codon, and T loops). The record is from RNAcentral. Lineage: Bacteria; Bacillati; Actinomycetota; Actinomycetes; Mycobacteriales; Gordoniaceae. RNAcentral also lists the same sequence under 1 other name.
CGGGAUGUGGCGCAGCUUGGUAGCGCAUCCGCUUUGGGAGCGGAGGGUCGCAGGUUCAAAUCCUGUCAUCCCGACAA